UUGGAUUUGUAAUCACCAAGUGCAUCAUUUUGUAUUCAAAAUUCUCAACACAUCAUUUUGUAUUCAAAAUUCUCAAUACAUCAAAUUAGAGGAAUCAAGGUGCUCCAUCAUUUCGUGUUCAAUUUGUUAACUAGCUAUUUAUGUUGCAUUUUACAAUAUUAUCUUCUACUAACACAUGAUGCUACUAGCUAGACUCGUCUCAUGCUCGAUCUCUGUCCCGUAACAGGCAUAGCACAACAUGUUCUUUUAAAUUGUAGCUGAGGUUCCUCACCAUAGUGUCAUAUUUCCUGUGAAAAGGAAUUGGAUAACCAAUUUAAUUUUGCUCUUUCAUGUUGUGUUCCACAUAACAAUUCAAUUUAUGCAUUGUAUACAGUCAUUCACACAUUCUAACCAAAUGACAGCAAAUAACAGUUCAAUUUAGACAUCCUAGUGCAUAAGUCAAUCACACCAAAUAACAAUUCAAUUUAGACAUCCCAAUAGCAACUAAAAAACACAAAAUUAGGGAGUUUGUGUAACUUAAAUACCAUAUACACUCUGUAACACUUAAUAAAUAAAUAAAAACUUACUAAUAAUAUCAAUAAAUUGCAGGUUCAGACAUAAUUUUCAAGAAAAAUAACCAAUAUACAGCAAAAUGCUUCUUGCGGAAGAAGUUUGACAGCUUCUUCCGCGAGCAGAAAAUGCACUCUACGGAAGAAGGUGUUCUUCCGCGAGUGUAACAACACGGAAAUGGAGUCAGCGGAAUAAGGUGUUCUUCCGCGGGCUCCUGCGGAAGAAACUAAAAAGGUUCUUCCGCGGGUGCCAGCGGAAGAACUUUUCACAUUUCUUCCGCAGGAGCUCGCAGAAGAACACCUUCUUCCGCUGAAUCCAUUUCCGUCCCCUAACACACGCGCGGAAGAAGCUUCUUCCCGCGGAAGAACUUCGUGUUCAAUCUCCAGCACCAAACAACAACAAUGUCGUCUAUCCUAAGGCCAUUAACGUUAUUCUAACAGUAAUCCAAAGCCAAUGGAGUUAGAACACUAACCUCGAUGGCGGAAGAAACGCUUAAACAACCCAAUGAAGAACUCCAAGGGACGCAACCAAAAUGGAGAAGAAGACUGCUGCAAGGAACACUGCUACGAGGAGGAAGAAGACUGCUGCGAGGAAGCCCAUGGAAGAACACGAACGAGGAAGGGAGCGCGGAAGAACACGAACGAGGAAGCUGAAGAAGAAAGGGGAAGAAGGGGAGAAAAUGCUGGGUGCACGGAAC
This 1246-nucleotide long non-coding RNA is filed under the name Glycine max (soybean). Its description in RNAcentral is "long non-coding RNA (GMAX_LNC000781)". The record is from RNAcentral. Lineage: Eukaryota; Viridiplantae; Streptophyta; Magnoliopsida; Fabales; Fabaceae.